AUAUUGGAGUGGUUAUAUUUGUGGUUUUUUAAUAUUUUUUGAAUAAAAAAUAGUUCCACAAAUAUAAUCUUUAAAUGGAUUUUUUUUAAAAGUUAAUUCUUUUUCAAAAAAAAAUAAGUAAUUAGGGUACAAAAAUAAAGUUAACAUAGGAAAGUUUGUGCCGUUUUGGCAUGUUUUGAUAGUGUAAAAAAGUGCACCCAAAGGUAGAUACCUUUGGAUGAAAUGAAACGUGCCGGUUUCCGAAGUAAAUUUGAUUUUGAAAAAACAUAGUGUUUUAGGCAUAAAAUGAAAAAAACUUUAAUUUUAAAAAUUUUGAAUUUUUUGGGGAUUAAAUUUGUUAGGGGUUAUUAUGUUAAAAAUGUUUUUUUGUAAUAUAGUGGGGCCAGGGGUUAGUGUGGGUGCAUACAAAAUUAUAAUUUUAUGAUAAUAGCUGGGUAAACGAGUGUUAAUAAAAGUUUGGUAUUGCAUACUAUUUGAGGAUUAUUUUAUUUUUUUAUUAAAAAUAGAAUUUAAAAGUAAAAUAAAAUAAGUGUUAAGGUGUUAUAAAAUUUAAAAUAUAUUUUAUGAAGUUGAAAAGGUGAUUUUAAGGAUAACUGUUAUAAGAAUUGAUUUAUUAAAGAGUUAUUGUUUUUUUAUUUUUGAAAUAAGAAAAGAGAAAAUUUAAAGUGUUUUAAAAAAAUGUUUUGUAACAUUUUUUAUGGGAAACUAAUUUGUUUUAGGAAAAUUUAACUUUAUUUAGUUUAGGGUAAAAUUUUAAUAUAUGUAGUUGAAAGUAAUUAUGUUUUAUAAAGAAAUUUUUUUUUUGAACUAUAUUUUUGAUCAGAUGUUUUUUAAAGACUUAGGUUUAAAGUUUUAAACUGUCUUCUGCUCUAUGAUAUUAUUAAAUGGCAGCUUUAGCGUGAGAGCAAUAAAGUAGCAAAAUAAUUUGUGUUUUUAAUGAAUUCGAGUAUGAACGAAGGUAAUGGUUGAGGGUUUAAAGAAAUGUUGGACGAUUUUUGGUUUAUUUAAAAAUUAUUAGAUUUAUUUAACAAAGAUAAGUCUUCGGAAAUUUUUUUAAUUUUAGGUUUUUUAGGGUAAAAUAAUAGGUAAUUAAAUUUUCUAAGUUUAAUAAAAAAAAUUACUCCGGAGUUAACAGGACAACAUGCUUUUUAUAGAUGUUAUAUUAAGGUGGGUGUUACAUCGAUGUUGUAUUUUUAUGAUAAAGGAAGUAGAGAAUUUUUUUUUUGAGACUGUUCUUCUUUAAAUAAAUAAAACGUGAUAUUAGUUUAAUUCAUUGUGAGAUAGAAUUGUUUAUCUUGUUAAUUAAAAAUUAGGAAAUUGGUAUUAGUACGAGAGGAAUAUAUUUAAAAAAUAAUUUUUUUGAGGAUUG
This 1369-nucleotide ribosomal RNA is filed under the name Hammerschmidtiella sp. ZengetLiu-2016. Its description in RNAcentral is "16S ribosomal RNA". Lineage: Eukaryota; Metazoa; Nematoda; Chromadorea; Rhabditida; Thelastomatidae. The record is from RNAcentral.